RNAcentral lists this ribosomal RNA (468 nucleotides) under uncultured bacterium. RNAcentral describes it as "partial 16S ribosomal RNA". It matches the Rfam family "Bacterial small subunit ribosomal RNA", at positions 28 to 507 of the family's 1533-position model. The record is from RNAcentral.
GACGAACGCUGGCGGCGUGCUUAACACAUGCAAGUCGAACGGAAAGGCCCUGCUUUUGUGGGGUUCUCGAGUGGCGAACGGGUGAGUAACACGUGAGUAACCUGCCCUUGACUUUGGGAUAACUUCAGGAAACUGGGGCUAAUACCGUAUAGGAGCUCCUGCUGCAUGGUGGGGGUUGGAAAGUUUCGGCGGUUGGGGAUGGACUCGCGGCUUAUCAGCUUGUUGGUGGGGUAGUGGCUUACCAAGGCUUUGACGGGUAGCCGGCCUGAGAGGGUGACCGGGCACAAUGGGACUGAGAGAGGGAGCAGAGGCCUACGGGAGGCAGCAGGGGGAAACAUUGCACAAUGGGCGGAAGCCUGAGGCAGCGACGCCGCGUGCGGGAUGACGGCCUGCUGGGUGUAAAACGCAUUCGCCUGUGACGAAGCGGGAGUGACGGUAAUGGGUAAAGAAGCACCGGCUAACUACGUG